CAAAAAGUAGCUUCAACCCCAAAGCACCCAACUUACAAUUGGAAAAUGUUAGUAACCAACCUAACCUUUUUGA
Molecule: transfer RNA, 73 nt
Filed under: Basiliscus vittatus (brown basilisk)
Lineage: Eukaryota; Metazoa; Chordata; Lepidosauria; Squamata; Corytophanidae
Description: tRNA-Val
Source: RNAcentral